CCUGACUGCUAUCGGAUUGGUACUAAGCCAUGUGAGUCAUUGUAGCAAUACAAGGCAUACGGCUCAGUAACACGUAGUCAAUCUAACCUAUGGACGUGGAUAACCUCGGGAAACUGAGAAUAAUCCGCGAUAGAUCAUUAAUCCUGGAACGGUUUAUGGUCGAAAAGAUUCGUCGCCGUAGGAUGGGACUGCGGCCUAUCAGCUUGUUGGUGAGGUAAUGGCCCACCAAGGCUAUUACAGGUACGGGCUCUGAGAGGAGAAGCCCGGAGAUGGGUACUGAGACACGGACCCAGGCCCUAUGGGGCGCAGCAGGCGAGAAACCUUUGCAAUGUGCGCAAGCACGACAAGGUUAAUCCGAGUGUUUCCUGCUAAAGGAAUCUUUUGUUAGUUCUAAAACCACUAUCGAAUAAGGGGUGGGGAAGUUCUGGUGUCAGCCGCCGCGGUAAAACCAGCACCUCAAGUGGUCAGGAGGAUUAUUGGGCCUAAAGCAUCCGUAGCCGGUUCUGUAAGUUUCCGGUUAAAUCCACUAGCUCAACUAGUGGGCUGCCGGAAAUACUGUAGAACUAGGGAGUGGGAGAGGUAGACGGUACUCGGUAGGAAGGGGUAAAAUCCUUUGAUCUAUUGAUGACCACCUGUGGCGAAGGCGGUCUACCAGAACACGUUCGACGGU
This 670-nucleotide ribosomal RNA is filed under the name uncultured archaeon. Its description in RNAcentral is "bacterial SSU rRNA". It matches the Rfam family "Archaeal small subunit ribosomal RNA", at positions 21 to 698 of the family's 1478-position model. The record is from RNAcentral.